Jaculus jaculus (lesser Egyptian jerboa) is the source of this 131-nucleotide small nucleolar RNA. The record is from Ensembl. NCBI's taxonomy places the organism in Eukaryota, Metazoa, Chordata, Mammalia, Rodentia, Dipodidae.
UAGCAAGCCUCCAGCGCGCCCAGGUCUGCGGUGACCUUGUGUUCCUUCAGUUCAAGCCAAAAGAGUUUUGAAAGCUUUUGAGGCCUUGCUCUGCUCCCCCCAGAACAAGGUUAUAGAAAUUUCCAACAAUU